Molecule: unclassified non-coding RNA, 636 nt
Filed under: Russula sp. 12 CG-2012
Lineage: Eukaryota; Fungi; Basidiomycota; Agaricomycetes; Russulales; Russulaceae
Description: sequence contains ITS1, 5.8S rRNA gene, ITS2
Rfam family: 5.8S ribosomal RNA (bases 227-380)
Source: RNAcentral
UAUGGUACUACAGAGGCAUGAAGGUUGUCGCUGACCUUUCUGAAAGGUCGUGCACGCCGGAGUGCUCUCACACACAAUCCACCUCACCACUUGUGCACCACCAUGCGGAGGCCCCUUGCUCUUGGCUCGCUUCGAGAGGGGGGAGGCUUUCGUCUUUUUUUACACACACACAAUACAGUCUGGUAGUAUAGAAUGUGAUUCAUUUGCGAUAACACGCAAUCAAUACAACUUUCAACAACGGAUCUCUUGGCUCUCGCAUCGAUGAAGAACGCAGCGAAAUGCGAUACGUAAUGUGAAUUGCAGAAUUCAGUGAAUCAUCGAAUCUUUGAACGCACCUUGCGCCCCUUGGCAUUCCGAGGGGCACACCCGUUUGAGUGUCGUGAAAUCUUCAAAACCCUUUUUCUUUAAAGGGUCUUUGGACUUGGAGGUUCAAUGCUUGCCUUGAAAGCGAGCUCCUCUCAAAUGAAUUAGUGGGGUCCGCUUUGCUGAUCCUUGACGUGAUAAGAUGUUUCUACGUUUUGGGUUUAGCACUGUCCCUUGGAUGCCUGCUCCUAACUGUCUCAUGGACAAUGAUGGUGCUCUGGUCACCGGCCGUCUACAUCGGCGGGGGGCUGGACCCACAAAAAGAAAACCUUG